This 28-nucleotide non-coding RNA is filed under the name Bombyx mori (domestic silkworm). Lineage: Eukaryota; Metazoa; Arthropoda; Insecta; Lepidoptera; Bombycidae. The record is from RNAcentral.
UAGUUACUAGCAUCUGUAUGGACUUCGA